AACAGUAAUGUUAGGAUUAGGAAGACAGUGGUCCAGACAGAGGGUAAGCCAAGGUCAGCUGCAGUCACAGCCCUGCAGCUGCAAACCUUUUCAAAGAGGGAAUGGAUCAAGGAAGGUGAUGAGUCAUAAAGCUGUAAGAAAAGAGAAAAAAAUCCUCAGGGAUAUAGACUCUGCUGCUACAUUAUCAGUGAAAUUGAAUCUGCGUUCUGCAGCCUGACCCAGGUAUUAGACUGGAUUCCACUCUCUCUUUCAGCAAAGUGGGCAUGAAGACCUUUUCAACAUCUUUUUCAAGCAUUUAGAAUGUCCUGCAGAUAUGAAACAAAUGAGCUGUUGCUAAGCGGUGUUUACACUAAGUCAAGGACUUAUCAGCUUCUCAAACUGUCCUGCAAGCAAAGAGCUGUGAGGAGACAGAACCAGGAGGGCUGUCCAGAGGGAUAUCCCAUACCACGUGGAGUCAUGCAGAACAAUAAAUCUGAGUGAGCUGGCUGGAGGAGAAGCAGCUGCUCAGGGACUGGCUGGGCAUUGGUUGGAGAGUGAGAAAACGUCUGUGUGAUGCUGAGCUGCGUGCCAGGUUAAACAACAACACAAGUAAAUACAUUUCAGGAUUAUGAAAACACAAGGAUGAAAAGUCAUUCAGACUUUUGUUUAUUAUGGAUGCCCAGAGUAAGUGUUGGCAGACUAGAAUUCUUACUCUGCCUCUUUCUCCUGGUCAUGCUUAUAGCUGUUAACUCAUUAUAUUUCUUUCCUCAGCCUCUCUGUCCUCAGCCAGGUUCUUUGGAACUUGCUGUAUCUCCUCUCAUUUUUUCCUUGUACACACAGCCAGAAGAGUCCCUUCUUGAGAGGUUGAUAUCACAAUACUUUUGACUGCUGGAGUCAGCUCUAUUUUUGCCAUUGAAGGUUUGCAUGGUAAUUAAGAUCAUCCUUUGGACUUAGAUAUUUCUCCUAUAUAAUAAAAUAAAGUUGCCUUUUUUUGUAUGAAACAUCUUUCAUCAGAAGAUCUGAAGUGCCUAGUGAACAUUGAUUUAUUCAACAAAGUAUAACAAUGUACUAACAGUUAAACUUUAAGUAAUGAAUUUGGAAGAGUUUCUAUUUUCAAAACACUGUUCAACUGAGAAUAAUCUUUCACGGUUAUAGCACUGAGUUCAUAGGAGUAUUUGGCCUUAAUUGUUUCCAUUUUAGCAGACAACAUAUGAAAAAUGAAUCCUGUCUGCAGGAGAUAAAACAAACAACUAAAUAAUUGUUUGCGAUGCCAGGAAGAGAACUGAGAUUACUAAACUAUUUGACUUUUAUUCUUUAUUUAACAACUAAGUAGCUAGUCUUCUGUUUAGAUAUGUGUGAAAAGCUUUACAUUAAAUUUCUGCUAUUUUGGUGAAAGAAGACUUAAAUAAAAUUGUAUCUCAGAAGAGAUGGAAAUACAUUUCAAAAUGAUUUAAGUUGGAAUCUACAAAAUGCUUUCCUCUUAUUCAACUUCUUUUUAAUAUUUAAGUCAUAAUAAAAACGGUUAAAGCUAACUAAUUUUUAUUAGAGUGAUAAAAAUAAAAUAUUUCCAUCUAAUGAUAUUUUAAAGUUCCUAUGAAUUAAAUAUGGAUAAUUACUUUUGGAUUUUAACUUUUGGUCCAAUUCAAGACAGCGUAUUUUGAAAUAACUUGUCCUAUUAUAUAACUCACCUAUCUAAUUCACUCAUAUCUCUAUAGUAACAAUCAAAGUUCUUCUAGUAAUUAAAACAUUAUCCUUGAUGAGUUAUCCAAAUACUAUAGAUGCAAUACUGUAAUUCAUUUUAUCAUUUAAUUCACAUCUGUCAUUAUGUAUAGAAAAAAAACCUAAUAUUUUUCCCUUUGGAAUGUGGAUUAAAAGGAUUUCAUAUUUGUGUCUUUUGGACCAAAUAUGGAUCCAGAAUAGUUUUUACUUUGGGGCAUUAAUAUUCUGCAUUUUGCAUAAACUCAAUCCGCUUAGAACCAAGUAUUUUUUAGUAUAAAUGCAUGCAUCUAAUGACAUGAAUGAGUAUUUCAAUUCACACUUUGUUAAUUUUCUCUUGCUUACAUGAUUUUCCUAUAAUUAACUCCCCAAUUUCUCUGAAGGUUCAGUUAUUCUAUGAUACAAUACUAAUUAAAAUUUCUUGCUGCCACAUAGCUAGCGUGGAUUGCUGGUGGAGCUGAUCAUUUCAGAUUUAAAUAUAAUGACUCCUUUUACACACUUCUCCGCCCUCAAUGUUCUAGAGUAUAUCUCAUUUCUUGGUAGUUAGCUAAAUAAUGAUAGACUAGGGUAAGAGGAGAGCUAAUUACCUGUCGCUGUAUAUGUGCAUACUGUGCAAGGAACUCUAGGUUUUGGGAGACUAGGUCUACUCUUUUGAGGAUGGCUAAAAAGUAACAACUAAAAGAAAAGUGGGGGUUCACAGAUGAUGCCACUGUAGUGGGAUGCUUCAGAGUGGGUGCCUGUUCACUGUGACGGCUUUGUGGUCCUGAAACCUUAAGGAGGGAGGGCAAUGAGCUGAAAAUGAAGGAUAUAAUCUCUGAAUGAGCCUCCAGCUGGUGCUGCUUUCACUAGGGGUACUCAGCAGCAAGCUAUUGAAUGAAGCAAGUGGUGGUGCAAAAUGUUACCAUCCACUAGCUGGCACAACCAGGCUUUAUGAUUAGUCUAGGCAGAUUAUUUAAAGGUGCAUGGGAGGACUCAAGGAUUGUGAUCUGAGCUGCUAUGAGUGACAUGGUGCAGUGUACAAGAGAUACUCUGGAAGGCUGUUUGGGCUUUCCGGUAAAAUCAUAGAAUGGCUUGGGUUGGAAGGGAUCUUAAAUAUCAUCUAGCUACAACCCCACUGCCGUGGGCAGGGUUACCAACCACUAAAUCAGGCACAAGAUCACGGCCCCAACCAACCUGGCCUUGA
This is a long non-coding RNA of Numida meleagris (helmeted guineafowl), 2878 nucleotides long. RefSeq lists it as uncharacterized. The transcript is spliced from 3 exons. The record is from RefSeq and is a predicted model, not a curated record. NCBI's taxonomy places the organism in Eukaryota, Metazoa, Chordata, Aves, Galliformes, Numididae.